UGACCUCGGAUCAGGUAGGAAUACCCGCUGAACUUAAGCAUAUCAAUAAGCCGGAGGAAAAGAA
This 64-nucleotide ribosomal RNA is filed under the name Colletotrichum gloeosporioides. RNAcentral describes it as "partial 28S ribosomal RNA". It matches the Rfam family "Eukaryotic large subunit ribosomal RNA", at positions 1 to 63 of the family's 3401-position model. The record is from RNAcentral. Lineage: Eukaryota; Fungi; Ascomycota; Sordariomycetes; Glomerellales; Glomerellaceae.